RNAcentral lists this transfer RNA (77 nucleotides) under Cryomorphaceae bacterium. Its description in RNAcentral is "tRNA-Met". It matches the Rfam family "tRNA". From Rfam's summary of the family: Transfer RNA (tRNA) molecules are approximately 80 nucleotides in length. Their secondary structure includes four short double-helical elements and three loops (D, anti-codon, and T loops). The record is from RNAcentral. Lineage: Bacteria; Pseudomonadati; Bacteroidota; Flavobacteriia; Flavobacteriales; Cryomorphaceae.
GGGCCUAUAGCUCAGUUGGUUAGAGCACCUGACUCAUAAUCAGGUGGUCCCAGGUUCGAGCCCUGGUGGGCCCACAA